RNAcentral lists this ribosomal RNA (494 nucleotides) under uncultured bacterium. RNAcentral describes it as "bacterial SSU rRNA". It matches the Rfam family "Bacterial small subunit ribosomal RNA", at positions 903 to 1397 of the family's 1533-position model. The record is from RNAcentral.
AAAGGAAUUGACGGGGGCCCGCACAAGCAGCGGAGCAUGUGGUUUAAUUCGAAGCAACGCGAAGAACCUUACCAGGUCUUGACAUCCAUUUAAAGCCAUAGAGAUAUGGUGUCUCUUCGGAGGAAAUGAGACAGGUGGUGCAUGGUUGUCGUCAGCUCGUGUCGUGAGAUGUUGGGUUAAGUCCCGCAACGAGCGCAACCCCUACAGAUAGUUGCCAGUGCGUGAUGGCAGGCACUCUAUCGGGACUGCCGUGGAGAACACGGAGGAAGGUGGGGACGACGUCAAAUCAUCAUGCCCCUUAUGACCUGGGCUACACACGUGCUACAAUGGCUAUUACAAAGAGCAGCGAGACCGCAAGGUGGAGCGAAUCUCAAAAAGAUAGUCCCAGUUCGGAUUGUGGGCUGCAACCCGCCCACAUGAAGUUGGAGUUGCUAGUAAUCGCGAAUCAGCAUGUCGCGGUGAAUGCGUUCCCGGGCCUUGUACACACCGCCCGU